AGAGUUUGAUCCUGGCUCAGAUUGAACGCUGGCGGCAUGCCUAACACAUGCAAGUCGAACGGCAGCACAGGUAGCAAUACCGGGUGGCGAGUGGCGGACGGGUGAGUAAGGCAUCGGGAUCUACCCUGACGUGGGGGAUAACCUCGGGAAACCGGGACUAAUACCGCAUACGUCCUACGGGAGAAAGCGGGGGACCUUCGGGCCUCGCGCGGCAGGACGAACCGAUGUGCGAUUAGCUAGUUGGCGGGGUAGUGGCCCACCAAGGCGACGAUCGCUAGCUGGUCUGAGAGGAUGAUCAGCCACACUGGGACUGAGACACGGCCCAGACUCCUACGGGAGGCAGCAGUGGGGAAUAUUGGACAAUGGGCGCAAGCCUGAUCCAGCAAUGCCGCGUGUGUGAAGAAGGCCUUCGGGUUGUAAAGCACUUUUAUCAGGAGCGAAAUACCACGGG
RNAcentral lists this ribosomal RNA (451 nucleotides) under uncultured bacterium. RNAcentral describes it as "bacterial SSU rRNA". It matches the Rfam family "Bacterial small subunit ribosomal RNA", at positions 8 to 459 of the family's 1533-position model. The record is from RNAcentral.